GAUGAACGCUAGCGGCAGGCUUAAUACAUGCAAGUCGAGGGACAGCACAGGUAGCAAUACUGGGUGGUAACCGGCAAACGGGUGCGGAACACGUACACAACCUUCCUUUAAGUGGGGGAUAGCCCAGAGAAAUUUGGAUUAAUACCCCGUAAUAUAGUUGAAUGGCAUCAUUUGAUUAUUAUAGCUACGGCGCUUAAUGAUGGGUGUGCGGCUGAUUAGAUAGUUGGCGGGGUAACGGCCCACCAAGUCUACGAUCAGUAGCUGAUGUGAGAGCAUGAUCAGCCACACGGGCACUGAGACACGGGCCCGACUCCUACGGGAGGCAGCAGUAAGGAAUAUUGGUCAAUGGACGCAAGUCUGAACCAGCCAUGCCGCGUGAAGGAUUAAGGUCCUCUGGAUUGUAAACUUCUUUUAUUUGGGACGAAAAAGGGCCUUUCUAGGUCAACUGACGG
Molecule: ribosomal RNA, 452 nt
Filed under: uncultured Bacteroidota bacterium
Lineage: Bacteria; Pseudomonadati; Bacteroidota
Description: bacterial SSU rRNA
Rfam family: Bacterial small subunit ribosomal RNA
Source: RNAcentral